Chiloscyllium plagiosum (whitespotted bambooshark) is the source of this 103-nucleotide small nuclear RNA. The record is from RefSeq and is a predicted model, not a curated record. NCBI's taxonomy places the organism in Eukaryota, Metazoa, Chordata, Chondrichthyes, Orectolobiformes, Hemiscylliidae.
GAUGUUAUGUUCAUUUUGGGCUGAAACUGGAAUGAUACAGAGAAGACAGACAUCGAUCGUGAGUAAGGGUGACACGCACAUUUGUGAAACCUUCCAUAUUCUU